UGAUACUUAAAAAUACAAACUAAGAAAAUUAUCAUAUAAAAGUGAUGUUAUAAGUAUAUAAAUAUGCAACACUAACAUUUGCUUGACUAGAAUAAGAGAAGGCAUCUAUUUAAAACAUCAAUGUUUAUUUGUUUUAGAAGCACUUGAGAUAAUAAGUGAGAAUUGUUUUCAAAAUUAUUAGACCCCAUUUUUUUGCCUUUUAAAUUUUUUUCCCUUCCAUUCUUUUUAUUUCUUAUUAAAUAAGGUAUGGGGGAAGUUAAAAGCUACAAAUACAGAAUG
This 279-nucleotide unclassified non-coding RNA is filed under the name Hevea brasiliensis (rubber tree). The record is from RNAcentral. Lineage: Eukaryota; Viridiplantae; Streptophyta; Magnoliopsida; Malpighiales; Euphorbiaceae.